CAGCAGCCGCCGCGGUAAAACGUAGGUGGCAAGCGUUGUCCGGAAUUAUUGGGCGUGAAGCGCGCGCAGGCGGAUCAGUUAGUCUGUCUUAAAAGUUCGGGGCUUAACCCCGUGAUGGGAUGGAAACUGCUGAUCUAGAGUAUCGGAGAGGAAAGUGGAAUUCCUAGUGUAGCGGUGAAAUGCGUAGAUAUUAGGAAGAACACCAGUGGCGAAGGCGACUUUCUGGACGAAAACUGACGCUGAGGCGCGAAAGUCGGGGGAGCGAACGGGAUUAGAUACCCCAGUAGUCCCUGUCUCUUAUACA
Molecule: ribosomal RNA, 304 nt
Filed under: uncultured bacterium
Lineage: Bacteria
Description: partial 16S ribosomal RNA
Rfam family: Bacterial small subunit ribosomal RNA
Source: RNAcentral